RNAcentral lists this ribosomal RNA (259 nucleotides) under uncultured prokaryote. RNAcentral describes it as "partial 16S ribosomal RNA". It matches the Rfam family "Bacterial small subunit ribosomal RNA", at positions 524 to 780 of the family's 1533-position model. The record is from RNAcentral.
UACGUAGGGUGCGAGCGUUGUCCGGAAUUAUUGGGCGUAAAGAGCUCGUAGGUGGUUUGUCGCGUCGUCUGUGAAAUUCCGGGGCUUAACCUCGGGCGUGCAGGCGAUACGGGCAAUACUUGAGUGCUGUAGGGGAGACUGGAAUUCCUGGUGUAGCGGUGAAAUGCGCAGAUAUCAGGAGGAACACCAAUGGCGAAGGCAGGUCUCUGGGCAGUUACUGACGCUGAGGAGCGAAAGCAUGGGUAGCAAACAGGGAUUA